This 1112-nucleotide long non-coding RNA is filed under the name Mus musculus (house mouse). Its description in RNAcentral is "predicted gene, 46111, transcript variant 2 (Gm46111)". The record is from RNAcentral. Lineage: Eukaryota; Metazoa; Chordata; Mammalia; Rodentia; Muridae.
AGUAAGCACUCAGCAUUUCAGCUUCUUGCCAUCUCUCCUAAUCAAGAGGAAUUUUCCUCUUGGAAUAAGGCAGAGAUAAUCAGGCUUCGGGGGUCUUGUGAGAAUGAUGCCUUAGGACACAGCUGCCUCAUUCCCCAUGCCAGCACAUUCUGGAAAGGGAUGGAAGAUUCUUUGUGGGCCUUGAGGUGGACUGUGACCUUGGAGUCAUGCUGAGUCACCGGCUGUAACCACUGAGACACAGUGGUGAAGAUGAUCUGCAGACUAUAUAGUACAAGAGGCUCCAGGAGUCUAACAGAGCUUAAUGUAGAUCAAGCUCAGAACAAGUGCCCGCCUAGGACCCUGAGAACCUGGAGCUGUGAAUGAACCUGGGAUUGAGAAGAUGGACACCUGCUCAGGCCAUUGUCGUCAGGCUUUGCCUGUCUCACACUGCCCAUGCCAGAGACCAGACAAGGAACAGACAGCUAGGAGCAAACCUAACACCUCAGGGGCCACCUUUACCAUGAAGCUCUCCCUGCCCUGGUGGCUAAGAUUAGUCCUCAAGAGGAACCACGAUCCAGGGAGCUGAGGCAAGCAAGGGCCAGGCCAAGCCAACAAUCAAGGUGUGCUCCGCUACUGAGCUAGCUUCCGUGCCUGAGAGGAAGGUCAAGGAAGGCUGCUGCUUCUUUGGUGCCAAGGAGACAGGAUCUGCAUGUGAAAGGGGCACUCUGUGAGCUGCUCUGAGCCAUGGAUCCAACCCCAGAGCUGCUCCUGAGCUCGGCGGGCAGCAUCCUGAAGCAGAGAGAGAGAACUUAGGAUGAAAUUCCUGGGCAGAAGCCACCAAGCCUCCUCGGUCCUCCUGCCCCUCUGCACACUCUUGCAAACAGCAUGGCUUCUCUGCCAGGAACACAAAGAGAGCCAUCACUGGGAGGCAGGGACCAUCUGAAUACAGCACUCAAACUCACGGCAGUUACUCCUGGACCACUGCCCAGAGCAAUCUGUGAAGCCUCAAUACCCUAGAAAUGCUUGGAUGCUAGCACCCAUCCACUUCUCUUUAAAUAACCUGAGUGACACUUCCUGAGUGCUAAGGGCCGGACACCAAUUCAGCUGCUAAGAUAAACCCUGACUGAAGUUCA